AGGCCUCUCUCUCCGUGUUCACAGCGGACCUUGAUUUAAAUGUCCAUACAAUUAAGGCACGCGGUGAAUGCCAAGAACGGGGCUG
Molecule: microRNA precursor, 85 nt
Organism: Microcebus murinus (gray mouse lemur)
Lineage: Eukaryota; Metazoa; Chordata; Mammalia; Primates; Cheirogaleidae
Gene: MIR124-1
Product: microRNA 124-1
Source: Ensembl